UUCAUCCUACGGGGCGAGCAGUGGGGAAUAUUGCACAAUGGGGGGAACCCUGAUGCAGUAAUGCCGCGUGGGUGAAGAAGCACUCCGGUGCGUAAAGCCCUGUCAGCAGGGAAGAAAGUGACAGUACCUGACCAAGAAGCCCCGGCUAACUACGUGCCAGCAGCCGCGGUAAUACGUAGGGGGCAAGCGUUAUCCGGAUUUACUGGGUGUAAAGGGAGCGCAGGCGGCGUGGCAAGUCAGAUGUGAAAACCCGGGGCCCAACCCCGGGAGUGCAUUUGAAACUGCCAUGCUGGAGUGCCGGCGAG
RNAcentral lists this ribosomal RNA (305 nucleotides) under uncultured bacterium. RNAcentral describes it as "bacterial SSU rRNA". It matches the Rfam family "Bacterial small subunit ribosomal RNA", at positions 333 to 656 of the family's 1533-position model. The record is from RNAcentral.